Molecule: non-coding RNA, 104 nt
Organism: Gymnopilus junonius
Lineage: Eukaryota; Fungi; Basidiomycota; Agaricomycetes; Agaricales; Galerinaceae
Source: the annotation of a GenBank genome assembly
GCUUCCUUGGCUCAGUUGGCUAGAGCGCAGGUCUCAUACUUACAUGUGAGUGAUCGUAUGGUCAUACAAUCCUGAGGUCGCAAGUUCGAGCCUUGCAGGGAGCA